CUAGUAGGCCGGUGACGACGACCGCCGAGCGCCACCCGAACAGGAAGGGGAGCCACCUUCGGUUACGGCAAAAGGUGACCACAGAUGUUAUCUAUAUGCACGGGAGGGAUAAUUCGGCCGAGAACAGUGUGAACCUCAACCCCCUCUGACCGGCUGAAGUAAUGGAGUGUGCCAUGAGUCCACGUGGAGGGAGCAUGGAGAGAGAUCCGUUGUGCAGUUGAGAGGCUUCAGAAGAGGACCAGACGAUCCUGGCAGAAACAGUUUGAAGUUGUGAAGAACAUAUUAUCCGCAUAAUAAAAUGGCUAGAGGAAGUCGCAGUGCCAGUCGUUCUUCGGCACCAACCAGAACUCCCUCGGAGAACCUGAGCCCUAGGACCAUGCCUCAGGACUACCUGGCCUGAUG
This is a long non-coding RNA of Oncorhynchus gorbuscha (pink salmon), 402 nucleotides long. RefSeq lists it as uncharacterized. The transcript is spliced from 5 exons. NCBI's taxonomy places the organism in Eukaryota, Metazoa, Chordata, Actinopteri, Salmoniformes, Salmonidae. The record is from RefSeq and is a predicted model, not a curated record.